ACCUACGGGACGCAGCAGUGGGGAAUAUUGCACAAUGGGGGGAACCCUGAUGCAGCGACGCCGCGUGGGUGAGGAAGUACUUCGGUAUGUAAAGCCCUAUCAGCAGGGAAGAAAAUGACGGUACCUGGCUAAGAAGCCCCGGCUAACUACGUGCCAGCAGCCGCGGUAAUACGUAGGGGGCAAGCGUUAUCCGGAUUUACUGGGUGUAAAGGGAGCGUAGACGGCGUGCCAAGUCUGAUGUGAAAGGCCGGGGCUCAACCCCGGGCCUGCAUUGGAA
This 277-nucleotide ribosomal RNA is filed under the name uncultured bacterium. RNAcentral describes it as "partial 16S ribosomal RNA". It matches the Rfam family "Bacterial small subunit ribosomal RNA", at positions 337 to 631 of the family's 1533-position model. The record is from RNAcentral.